RNAcentral lists this ribosomal RNA (294 nucleotides) under uncultured Paraglomus. RNAcentral's name for it is "partial small subunit ribosomal RNA". It matches the Rfam family "Eukaryotic small subunit ribosomal RNA", at positions 569 to 864 of the family's 1831-position model. Lineage: Eukaryota; Fungi; Glomeromycota; Glomeromycetes; Paraglomerales; Paraglomeraceae. The record is from RNAcentral.
AGCAGCCGCGGUAAUUCCAGCUCCAAUAGCGUAUAUUAAAGUUGUUGCAGUUAAAAAGCUCGUAGUUGAACUUCAGGCCUGUCCAGACGGUCCGCCUUAAUUGGUGUGUACUGUCCUUGGGUGGGUCCUACCUUCUGGCGAAGCGGCAUGGCCUUAAUUGGUUGUGUCGGGGAACCAGGACUUUUACUGUGAAAAAAUUAGAGUGUUCAAAGCAGGCAAAUAUGCUCGAAUACAUUAGCAUGGAAUAAUGGAAUAGGACGAUGGUUCUAUUUUGUUGGUUCUAGGACCGUUGUA